UACGUAGGGGGCAAGCGUUGUCCGGAUUUAUUGGGCGUAAAGAGCUCGUAGGCGGUCUGUCGCGUCGAUCGUGAAAACUUGGGGCUUAACCCUGAGCUUGCGGUCGAUACGGGCAUGACUGGAGUUCGGCAGGGGAGACUGGAAUUCCUGGUGUAGCGGUGAAAUGCGCAGAUAUCAGGAGGAACACCAGCGGCGAAGGCGGCGCUCUGGGCCGAUACUGACACUGAGGAGCGAAAGCGUGGGGAGCAAACAGG
This 254-nucleotide ribosomal RNA is filed under the name uncultured bacterium. RNAcentral describes it as "partial 16S ribosomal RNA". It matches the Rfam family "Bacterial small subunit ribosomal RNA", at positions 524 to 776 of the family's 1533-position model. The record is from RNAcentral.